AGAGUUUGAUCCUGGCUCAGAAUGAACGUUGGCGGCGUGGAUUAGGCAUGCAAGUCGAGCGAGAAAUUUUAAAAAGAUACUUCGGUUGAUUUUUAGGAUGGACAGCGGCGAAAGGGAGAGUAACGAGUAGAUACGUACCCAAGGGUUUAGGAUAGCCAUGCGAAAGCGUGAGUAAUACUGAAUAAUGUCUCCGGACCAAAGAUUUAUCGCCCUUGGAGCGGUUUGCUUACUAUUAGCUUGUUGGUGGGGUAAAGGCCUACCAAGGCUUAGAUGGUUAGCGGGUGUGAGAGCAUGACCCGUCUCACUGGGACUGAGACACUGCCCAGACACCUACGGGUGGCUGCAGUCGAGAAUCUUCCGCAAUGGACGAAAGUCUGACGGAGCGACGCCGCGUGCUGGAUGAAGGCCCUCGGGUUGUAAACAGCUGUCGUAGGGGAGGAAAUUUUGACCGAUCCUAGGAGAAGCACAGCUAAGUU
This 476-nucleotide ribosomal RNA is filed under the name uncultured bacterium. Its description in RNAcentral is "bacterial SSU rRNA". It matches the Rfam family "Bacterial small subunit ribosomal RNA", at positions 8 to 503 of the family's 1533-position model. The record is from RNAcentral.